CCUACGGGUGACAGCAGUGAGGAAUAUUGGUCAAUGGACGCAAGUCUGAACCAGCCAUGCCGCGUGCAGGAAGACGGCUCUAUGAGUUGUAAACUGCUUUUGUACGAGGGUAAACGCAGAUACGCGUAUCUGUCUGAAAGUAUCGUACGAAUAAGGAUCGGCUAACUCCGUGCCAGCAGCCGCGGUAAUACGGAGGAUUCAAGCGUUAUCCGGAUUUAUUGGGUUUAAAGGGUGCGUAGGCGGUCGGAUAAGUUAGAGGUGAAAUCCCGAGGCUCAACUUCGGAAUUGCCUCUGAUACUGUUCGGCUAGAGAGUAGUUGCGGUAGGCGGAAUGUAUGGUGUAGCGGUGAAAUGCUUAGAGAUCAUACAGAACACCGAUUGCGAAGGCAGCUUACCAAGCUACUUCUGACGUUGAGGCACGAAAGCGUGGGGAGCGAACAGGAUUAGAUACCCCUGUAGUC
Molecule: ribosomal RNA, 460 nt
Filed under: uncultured bacterium
Lineage: Bacteria
Description: partial 16S ribosomal RNA
Rfam family: Bacterial small subunit ribosomal RNA
Source: RNAcentral